UUGCCUCUUGCCCCUGGUCAACCAGUUCUAAACAUUGAUCUCCGAGUACCUGCUUCUCUUUUUGGCAUUGAACCAUCAGUAUUCACUAUUCAGUACCUGGGAACAAGAGAAUAUGGUAGCUGAACGAGCUAAGCUGCACUUAGCUUUAACGUUUUUGCAAUUUUGUUAUGCAGGAAACCACAUAUUUGUGAGGAUUGCACUUGAUUCAGGCGUCAGCAAGCUUGUAUUUCCUGUCUAUAGAAACAUCACUGCUCUUCUUCUUCUGGGUCCCUUAGCUUAUUUUUCAGAGAAGUAUGCACUUCAGUUCUAUACCAUAUAUAAAUGAAUUCUGUCAUGUUCCCAGUUUCAGCUAUCUUACCUUUUUCUUUUUCUUUUUUGGAUCUUAUUGUUUGCCUCUUUGCAAGGAAAGACAGGCCAUCAAUAACCAGAUAUUGUCUUGUCCAAUUUUUCCUUCUAGGACUUGUUGGGUAUGUAUGAUCUUUCCAUGAAGCUACUCCACUGUAUCAAUUAAUUGGCAAUGUUUGUGUAACUUAAAAAGUAUUAAUUUUGAUUCUUGCAGAAUAACAUUGAAAGAAGGGUUCCAUCUUUGAAGGAAACAUCAUUUUUCUGAAUGAAUCAAAAUCCAGUAACAUAACAUGGUUGGUUAACCAAUCAAAUAUUCAAAAUAAACUUUGAAGGCUUUGCCUCGAGGAGAUUAGUAUAAUGACCAUCGGCUUUGGGAUAACUAGGGGAAAAAAACUGUAUAAUUAUAAUUAGUUGGUUACAGGCGUGUUGGUCCAAAUUGGUGUUCUAUGGGAAAACAUGGAUUGAUUUUUAUUAAUAUUUUGACAGUAAACAUGGAGUGAUUGAGCUAUUGCAACAUGUCAGGCUUUGACUUCAAAUGCCCUUCCUUCACUUUGGGGUGAAAUGGAGUGGAUGAAAGAUUGGAUUGAGGAGUGUAGCUAAUAUUCAAUGGCGCAUCACAAUCACAUGCACGCAAGCAAUCCAAUUACUAACAGUAGAUUAUUAGAGUGUCCAUUAACACUUUUUACCAUGAAGCGACAGAAAUUAUUUAUAGAUUACUAAUAAACACGUUGCACUUUGUUUUCUUUUGUCACCACUUACAAGAAGGUAGAACUAAACAAGAUUGCAAUUAUUAUAGAUCUCUUAUCUUCCACUUCCAGACAGUUUUUGCCUCUUGCCCCUGGUCAACCAGUUCUAAACAUUGAUCUCCGAGUACCUGCUUCUCUUUUUGGCAUUGAACCAUCAGUAUUCACUAUUCAGUACCUGGGAACAAGAGAAUAUGGUAGCUGAACGAGCUAAGCUGCACUUAGCUUUAACGUUUUUGCAAUUUUGUUAUGCAGGAAACCACAUAUUUGUGAGGAUUGCACUUGAUUCAGGCGUCAGCAAGCUUGUAUUUCCUGUCUAUAGAAACAUCACUGCUCUUCUUCUUCUGGGUCCCUUAGCUUAUUUUUCAGAGAAGUAUGCACUUCAGUUCUAUACCAUAUAUAAAUGAAUUCUGUCAUGUUCCCAGUUUCAGCUAUCUUACCUUUUUCUUUUUCUUUUUUGGAUCUUAUUGUUUGCCUCUUUGCAAGGAAAGACAGGCCAUCAAUAACCAGAUAUUGUCUUGUCCAAUUUUUCCUUCUAGGACUUGUUGGGUAUGUAUGAUCUUUCCAUGAAGCUACUCCACUGUAUCAAUUAAUUGGCAAUGUUUGUGUAACUUAAAAAGUAUUAAUUUUGAUUCUUGCAGAAUAACAUUGAAAGAAGGGUUCUACCUUUUGGGUUUGGAUAACACUUCACCUACCUUUGCUGCUGCUAUGCAGAACUCUGUUCCAGCUCUGACCUUUCUCAUGGCUGUAGUACUCAGGCAAGCUAUAAAGUUCUUACUUUAAAUCCAUGUUUCAAAGCUCUUCUAUAAUUGAUUCCAAAGCUAAAAUUAAUUCUGAGUAUAAGUUUUUGUGAGUAGCUUACGAGUGUCAGAAUUAUUCUCGAAAAAAAAAAAGUUGGUCCAGUAAGACGCUUACAAAGUAUAUGUAGAAAUACUUAUAUGACAUUGAUCAAUU
RNAcentral lists this long non-coding RNA (2042 nucleotides) under Lotus japonicus. RNAcentral describes it as "long non-coding RNA (LJAP_LNC001101)". The record is from RNAcentral. Lineage: Eukaryota; Viridiplantae; Streptophyta; Magnoliopsida; Fabales; Fabaceae.